Molecule: long non-coding RNA, 1281 nt
Filed under: Piliocolobus tephrosceles (Ugandan red Colobus)
Lineage: Eukaryota; Metazoa; Chordata; Mammalia; Primates; Cercopithecidae
Description: lncRNA (ENSPTEG00000003111.1)
Source: RNAcentral
AUGAAUGAAAAAAUGAGUGAAAAGAUAAGUGAAAAGAUAAGUGAAAAAAUGAGUGAAUAUGUGGGUGAAGAAGUUGGUAAAGAUGUUGGUGACGGAGCGGAUGAAAAGAGUUGUCGAAAAAAUUCAAAAUUAUACGCUACAAAUAAAAACAAAAUAAUUAAUAAUAUGAACAAGCAAGACAUAUCUGAAAAAAACCUAAACUUUAAGAAAAGUCAACAGCAACAAAAAAAUGCAAACCAAAGCGAUAGCAACAUAACAAACAAAAAAAACGAUUGCCAGAAAUUUGUUAAUAAAAAACGAAGUUUGUCUUUAAAUAGUAAACAAAAAGAAAUUAAACAUAAACAGUUAGAAAUGAUAAAAAUAAUUAGAAAUCAACAAAUAAUAGACUUUGCAGAAUUAAAAAAAAGAAAAAAAAAGAGAGAAGAAAAAUGUAAACAAGAGUUUUACGAAAUGCGAAAAAAAUAUAAACAAAAAAAUUAUAAAGCAAAAAUAAUGACAUUAAUACAUUGUAUUAUACAGAAUAUUAAACCUAAAAAUAAAAAUUAUUACUACAAGGUUAUUAAUAUAAUAAAAAAUGGUAUAGAAAAUAUGUUUUUAAAUUUGCUUAAUGAGCAGCAAACUGUUACUUGUGCAGACGUUCACACUAAGUUGGGUGUCCAAAAUGUGAACGAAACAAACACUGCACCUUGUCACGCUCAGAAUAAUAAUGUCGUUAAUCCGGACAUAAAUAAUAACACUAAUGAUGAUAUGUUUUUAAAUAAUACUACCAACAUUGUUGAUAGUGUUGGCAGGGUUGACAGUGUUGAUAGUGUUGAUAGUGGUGAUACUACCAAUAAUAAUGACGAGCAUGUAAACAGCGUUAAUAACCGAACUGAAAAAAAUAAUCAUACAAAUAUAUUAAAAGACGUUUUUACCAAUAUUUAUAAAAAAAAAGAAAUUUUAUUUCUUAUAGAAAAUUUUAUAAAAACCAAUAUUAAAAAUCAAAAGAAAAAAAAAACGGUAAAUCAUACACAGAUAAAUGGUUCAGUAAAUGGUUCAGCAAAUGGUUCAGCAAAUGAACAGCAAACAACAGUGUCGACUUCUACUCUUCCACAUGCACCAUCUUCAAAAAAAAAAAAAAACGUUUACGCCUCCAUUUUACUACUAUGCAACUUCAAAUUAUACAAAAAGAAAUUUCUUAGUAAGUUUAAUACGGAGCAUGUUUAUUUAUUAUUGUUUUUUGUGUAUUAUUUGAGUACAAUUAUGGGUAUACUUUUAAAUAAGGCUUUGCAAAAAAAAUAA